Molecule: non-coding RNA, 4369 nt
Organism: Caretta caretta (loggerhead turtle)
Lineage: Eukaryota; Metazoa; Chordata; Testudines; Cheloniidae
Source: RefSeq, a predicted model, not a curated record
GGAGUAAGGAGACACCCUAGUUAACGGAGGCAGCUAACCAAAUGGCAAAAAAAAGAUUGGUUUUGCAUCAUAGAACCAUUGAGCCUACCAAUGUUAUUGGAGUUGCAUCCGUGAGCAGGGCUCUGCUUUGAGUUCACAAGUGUUGCUAAGCAAUGGAAAGAGAGGGAGGAGGAGGAGAGUGCAAGAGAGAGAGUCUGACACUAGGAGUACAAGAAUAAAUGGAAGAUAAUACUAAUGCUCCUACAUAGCCUCAUUUACAGUGAAUGUUAAAAGUACAAAAUAUUUCCUGUCAUCCUUGUAAACUACUUGCAGCCCGUGCAAAGACUGCUAAAACGAGGUUCUAUGUCUAAAUCAAUGCACAUCCUGCAAGUACAAAGUAGUGUUGCAUCCUGGAGCACUGACAAAAGCAGUGAGGCACCAGAACUGUUCACAUCUGCCUCUUGACUAAAAAGACAGCAGCUUUGGGCAUGUUGCACAACAUCUGUUACAGAAACACAAGAAAGCAGACCUAAGGCAAGCUGGGCUACUGCCAACUGACUCAAGAUUUUUUCCCCCCCUCUGACAAGGCUGUCAAUAAAUGGACAGAUGGCAUCCGAUGUGCUGGCAGGAUAGUUCAGUUAACAAUCAAAACAUUGAUUGCCCCUGAAGAUGUCCCCCUCAUCCCAUUCAGCUCAUGCAAACAACCAUUUUGGUGACCAGCGGCUCAGAGAGUACAAAGGUCAUCUAUGCAGAAACCCGUACAUUUUCUGGAACAACAACUGUGCACAGCAGCUACUAGGGGAAAAGCCUGGAUUCACUCCCGUAAGUGCAUAUGAGAGCAAGCUGCAGCACUUUGUACCCUGAGAGCAGCUCUGAUCCAAGGGUGAUUCAUCAGAGGGGAGAACAGGUGACAGUACCACACAGUCCCCGCCUACAGACUAUGUAAUCUUUUGGACAGCUUUAAAUUCCAGCCAGAGCUCCCUGGGAGCCACCUGGCAAAAACUGCCUGGUAGAGAUGCUGCAUAAAGACUUCUGAGGCUGCUCUGGUCCUAACUGGCUGAAAUGGCAACGGGGGAGGGAUUGCAUGCAGCUUGUACAGCUGUGCUUCACUGCUAGUGGAACUUCCACUGGGGUGUCUCAGCCUAGGUUCUGCCAAUAAAACUUCAGCACUGAAUCAGGCACUGCAUGUAGGAGCUUGAAUGACAAUUUUGGUGUUGAUAACUUCAACGUGCUUCCUGCUAAACUCUGGAAUCAUGUUGUAAUGGAGCUGGAAGAUUAAUAUUCUAUGCAAAGACUGAUUCUGGACUAAAAUAGGGUCUAAACAUAUUUCCCUUUUUUGUACUUAAUGUACAACUCUUUCUACAGUCAUAAUGGAUGCAUGGGCCUAUGCUAGUAGGGACCUCGGAUGCAUGUUAAAGCUUAAUCCUAGCUAGUUGUUUCUCACAUUAACGAGCAUGACUCUAGUUGUACUUAGAGUGUUGUAAGAGGAGACACUGGCAUUAUUAUAUACUAUAAUAUAAUAAUCAUAUGUUUCUUCUCCCAAAGUAAAUAGGGGACAGACUUGUCUUGUAGUAAGUCAGGUUGACAAUCAUCAUUUUAACUGUACUGUAAACUCUGGGUUACUGAGAAUAUGUAUUCUUAAAGUAUUGAAAAAGAAAAGUAGAAUUCAAUAGUCAGAAUGUAUGUUCACUUGUUAGGGUCUGUCUAUUUUUGAUACCACUGUACUGGUAUAUGUUAAAAAUGCCAAUUAAUUAAAAAAUCCUAAGUCUGCUGUAAAAGCAUGAGGAUUUUUUUAAACUUUGAAUACGCAAGUCGAAUGACCUCAUUAGCCCUCACUGGAAAUAUAAGACAAUGACAAAAAACUAAACACUGAUGCUCAUCUAGAUUGCAACACUUCUCAUUUGACGGUGUGUUACCGUUUUCUCAUUUUACAUGAGACCUAUCCAGCCCAAUGCUACAGGCAAGUAAUCUCAUUAGCAUCACUAUUUGUCAUUAGUAAAAACGGGUCACAUCUGGAAGAGUCGAUACACAGAAUACAUAUAACCUAUGUCCUUCCAUAACAGAUACUAUUUGUGCACACCUGUUAUUUUCAUGUCGCCUUGGAGCGCUCAUGGUGACUUCUGCAGAGCAUGUAACACCAGUACUCUAAGUAAAGACUAUGCAUUAGACCUUUGAGGCAUUUAAAAAUAUUUAUCCCAGUUUUAGCAUUUUCUUGACUUUGCAGUGGUUCUACAUUGUGCAAAGUAGACAAAUGCAAGCACCAUUCCUUUGUCCGUGAGCUUCUCUCCCCGAAGACUAGCCUCAGGAUACUGAAUUGAAAAACUAUCACCAAAAGAGGGUGUUUCAACCAGUUAGUCUAGAAAGCUGAAGGACAGUGUAUGGAGGCAGUGGGAGCAUGUCCAUGGACAGUUUGUGGGCACAGUAUAUAAUGUAAGUGUGUAUGUGUUAUGUAUACUAGGCCCAAAAGGAGCAGCUGAGAUUUGCAACAACAACAACAAAAAAAUUCAUCCCAGCUCCACUGAACUGUCGUGAAUCUGAGCUGCUAACUGUAGGUUCGGCUAAAACCCAGUCUCAGCCUGGCUUUAGAUGGGUGCUUGACUGAGCCAAAUAUUUUGCACUGCCCUAAGGAGCAAAUACAUAAAACACAUAUGGGGCAUGAUAGGUCACCUUUUACCUAUAAAUAGGUACGUGAUAAUGAUCAUAAAAAGGUAAAAAGAAAUCAAUAAGAGCCAUUAAUUCAUUCAAAAUAAGACUAUGUUAAGGCUCAUACGAUUACUAUCCAACUGUGGGAGAAAAAAAAAGUGAAAUUUUUCCAGUACAGUUCUCUCCAAUUCCAAACAAAAACCAAAUAAAACUAGGAAAGAAAUGAAAAGUACUUAGUCUUUUUUCCAUAUAUUUGCAUGUACAGAUGAAAAUUUUAGGGCUUAAGCUGAUUUACCCUCAUGUAAGUGAGAAGUAAAUCCACUGAAGCCAGUGGAGUUAUACCAGUGUAAACACAGAUAUGAAAUCAGCUAAUUGGUCACAUUAAAAAGAGGUGAAUGUGACACAUUAAUGGAUUUCACCAUAGUGUACUUCAUAUUCUGUCCUCUACAUGAAUGGUUACCAACUAAGCUUUACCAUGCAGCAGGCAGAUCUCAAUUAAACCAGCACUAGCUUCAUUGGAAAGAAAGGAGAUACGACUAGCAAUAGCUCUCACCCAGGAUUUUCAAAAGGUGACGAGUGAUUUUGGAAGCCUCAAUCUUGGGGUCUUCACCUUAUGACAUUUUAAAGGGCCCUGAAUUUUGGAAAUCAGAUCCCUUGAAGGCAUCUCAAGUUGGGAUCCCAAAAAUCACUAGCCACUCUAAAUUCUGAUUCUAGUUUUCAGAGAUUCCAGAAGAGGAGAAAUGUUUCUCAAAGAAAAAAUGAGCCAGUAGAAGAUGGAUACUUCUCAUUUAAGACUUUCCAUGUGAAAGUUGCUUACACAAUAGGGGUCUUGUAAUAAUAUUGCCUUCUAGUUCUUAUAGAUCUUAUGCUAAAUAAAUAGAUCACAAUAUGCUGUUAUUUGUGGGUAAGAUCUUGCACACUUUACUUGUGCAAUACUCCCUAGAAUAGUUUUGUAAAGCUAAGGGCUCUGUGCAUGUGUGUCCAUGUGUAUUUAUAGGAUUUAGUUGCAGGCAAUAUAGGCAGCUCUGUAUUGGUACAAAAUCUAAGGGGAGAGAGGUGUUUUGGAGAAAAGCUUCCCCUGACAAAGUUCUUUUAAUGCAAAAUUAAAACAUCAAGUAGAGUCUUGCUCCUGUUAGUGAACUCUGCAUCUCUUCCUAUGAGCUCUAGGAUCCUUUAAUCUUCUGCUUCCGCUGCCGUUGCUCCUACUUCAAAGCGCUGCUGCAGGCAGUGGAAAGGAUUCUGACACUCAUUUGGGAAAAGUCUGGGACAUUAAAUCACCUUGGGCAUCCAUCUAUGUACGGACAGCCCUGUAUGUUCACUUCAACCACCUGGGAAAAUGCAGCCACUUCUAGAGCAGAAUGCGGUGCAUCUUUACGCAGGACUGCAUAACUGUUCAGGACCAGCAGUGAAAUGUGUAUCCAUUUGUUGUCUUUCAAAAUGUGUAAACCGUGUUUCUACAAAGAUCCACUUGAAAAAGAAUCUAAAGAAAAUAGCAAAAUAUGCAAGCAUGAUAGCUGGGUGCAUGUCUGAAUGUCAGACUCCUGUGGAUUUGGAGAGCCAACAAGUCUGACAUUGUACAGGGUUCCAUCAAUGUGUACAGCUUUUUUGCAAGUCUGGUUGUAUUGGAAUGUAGCGGAGGACCUGGGAACUGUGCACAACAGAAAAAAAGCUGGAGGAGAGAGAAGGGAGAGUCUGGAGACAGAGAGAUGGUUCAGGAAGCCUAAAUAAAGAGGAUAGCAUUUUUUAA